CAAUCCAUGAGUAAAGUCGGCGACCGGGUGAGUAACACGUGACUAACCUACCUUCGAGUGGGGGAUAACAUCGGGAAACCGAUGCUAAUACCGCAUAACAUCGCAAGAUCAAAGCAGCAAUGCGCUGGAAGAGGGGGUCGCGGCUGAUUAGCUAGUUGGCGGGGUAACGGCCCACCAAGGCGAAGAUCGGUAUCCGGCCUGAGAGGGCGCACGGACACACUGGAACUGAAACACGGUCCAGACUCCUACGGGAGGCAGCAGUGGGGAAUUUUGCGCAAUGGGGGAAACCCUGACGCAGCAACGCCGCGUGGAGGAUGAAGCCCCUUGGGGCGUAAACUCCUUUCGACCAAGACGAUAAUGACAGUACUGGUGGAAGAAGCACCGGCUAACUCUGUGCCAGCAGCCGCGGUUAAUACAGA
This 419-nucleotide ribosomal RNA is filed under the name uncultured bacterium. RNAcentral describes it as "bacterial SSU rRNA". It matches the Rfam family "Bacterial small subunit ribosomal RNA", at positions 79 to 529 of the family's 1533-position model. The record is from RNAcentral.